CUAUGCGCGUAGGUGUGCUGUACUACGAGUACCCGGGGUGCCGAAGUGAAAACGUGAAACGUGCCGCCUGGGAAGUACGGUCGCAAGGCUGAAACUAAAAGGAAUUGGCGGGGGAGCACCACAACGGGUGGAGCCUGCGGUUUAAUUGGACUCAACGCCGGGCAGCUCACCGGAUAGGACAGCGGAAUGAUAGCCGGGCUGAAGACCUUGCUUGACCAGCUGAGAGGAGGUGCAUGGCCGUCGUCAGUUCGUACUGUGAAGCAUCCUGUUUAGUCAGGCAACGAGCGAGACCCACGCCAACAGUUGCUAGCAUGUUCUCCGGAAUGAUGGGGGGCGCUGUUGGGACCGCCUCUGCUAAAGAGGAGGAAGGAAUGGGCAACGGUAGGUCAGCAUGCCCCGAAUUAUCCGGGCUACACGCGGGCUACAAUGGUCAGGACAAUGGGAAACGGCACUGAAAAGUGUAGUCAAUCUCCUAAACCUGUCCCAAGUUCGGAUUGUGGGCUGCAACUCGCCCACAUGAAGCUGGAAUCAGUAGUAAUCGCGUUUCAAAAUAGCGCGGUGAA
This 563-nucleotide ribosomal RNA is filed under the name uncultured methanogenic archaeon. RNAcentral's name for it is "bacterial SSU rRNA". It matches the Rfam family "Archaeal small subunit ribosomal RNA", at positions 758 to 1322 of the family's 1478-position model. The record is from RNAcentral. Lineage: Archaea; Methanobacteriati; Methanobacteriota.